RNAcentral lists this long non-coding RNA (218 nucleotides) under Gossypium raimondii (Peruvian cotton). RNAcentral describes it as "long non-coding RNA (GRAI_LNC006759)". Lineage: Eukaryota; Viridiplantae; Streptophyta; Magnoliopsida; Malvales; Malvaceae. The record is from RNAcentral.
AAAGAGUUAAAAAAAGAGAGUAUUAAAUGUUUCAAACUUUAAAAAAUAAAAAAGAAAAAGUCAUUAACCUUGAACCAAGUUAGCGCAUAAUUGAGAUGAUGAAUUUGGCGCAAAAGCAAGGCAUGCAUAAUCCUCAUCAUCGUCAUGCCACAAAAUAGGUUGCACUCUGGUGGUAGGAGGAUCAUUUCAUGCCUUUCACGCCAAACCCCGGCCUUCCC